AGGGUUCGAUUCUGGCUCAGGAUGAACGCUGGCGGCGUGCUUAACACAUGCAAGUCGAACGGGAUCCAUCAGGCUUUGCUUGGUGGUGAGAGUGGCGAACGGGUGAGUAAUGCGUGACCGACCUGCCCCAUACACCGGAAUAGCUCCUGGAAACGGGUGGUAAUGCCGGAUGCUCCGACUCCUCGCAUGGGGUGUCGGGAAAGAUUUCAUCGGUAUGGGAUGGGGUCGCGUCCUAUCAGGUAGUCGGCGGGGUAACGGCCCACCGAGCCUACGACGGGUAGCCGGCCUGAGAGGGCGACCGGCCACAUUGGGACUGAGAUACGGCCCAGACUCCUACGGGAGGCAGCAGUGGGGAAUAUUGCACAAUGGGCGCAAGCCUGAUGCAGCGACGCCGCGUGCGGGAUGACGGCCUUCGGGUUGUAAACCGCUUUUGAUCGGGAGCAAGCCUUCGGGUGAGUGUACCUUUCGAAUAAGCACCGGCUAACUACGUGCCAGCAGCCGCGGUAAUACGUAGGGUGCAAGCGUUAUCCGGAAUUAUUGGGCGUAAAGGGCUCGUAGGCGGUUCGUCGCGUCCGGUGUGAAAGUCCAUCGCUUAACGGUGGAUCUGCGCCGGGUACGGGCGGGCUGGAGUGCGGUAGGGGAGACUGGAAUUCCCGGUGUAACGGUGGAAUGUGUAGAUAUCGGGAAGAACACCAAUGGCGAAGGCAGGUCUCUGGGCCGUUACUGACGCUGAGGAGCGAAAGCGUGGGGAGCGAACAGGAUUAGAUACCCUGGUAGUCCACGCCGUAAACGGUGGAUGCUGGAUGUGGGGCCCGUUCCACGGGUUCCGUGUCGGAGCUAACGCGUUAAGCAUCCCGCCUGGGGAGUACGGCCGCAAGGCUAAAACUCAAAGAAAUUGACGGGGGCCCGCACAAGCGGCGGAGCAUGCGGAUUAAUUCGAUGCAACGCGAAGAACCUUACCUGGGCUUGACAUGUUCCCGACAGCCGUAGAGAUAUGGCCUCCCUUCGGGGCGGGUUCACAGGUGGUGCAUGGUCGUCGUCAGCUCGUGUCGUGAGAUGUUGGGUUAAGUCCCGCAACGAGCGCAACCCUCGCCCUGUGUUGCCAGCACGUCAUGGUGGGAACUCACGGGGGGACCGCCGGGGUCAACUCGGAGGAAGGUGGGGAUGACGUCAGAUCAUCAUGCCCCUUACGUCCAGGGCUUCACGCAUGCUACAAUGGCCGGUACAACGGGAUGCGACACGGCGACGUGGAGCGGAUCCCUGAAAACCGGUCUCAGUUCGGAUUGGAGUCUGCAACCCGACUCCAUGAAGGCGGAGUCGCUAGUAAUCGCGGAUCAGCAACGCCGCGGUGAAUGCGUUCCCGGGCCUUGUACACACCGCCCGUCAAGUCAUGAAAGUGGGUAGCACCCGAAGCCGGUGGCCUAACCCUUUGUGGAUGGAGCCGUCUAAGGUGAGACUCGUGAUUGGGACUAAGUCGUAACAAGGUAGCCGUACCGGAAGGUGCGGCUG
RNAcentral lists this ribosomal RNA (1509 nucleotides) under Bifidobacterium pseudocatenulatum. RNAcentral describes it as "bacterial SSU rRNA". It matches the Rfam family "Bacterial small subunit ribosomal RNA". The record is from RNAcentral. RNAcentral also lists the same sequence under 2 other names. Lineage: Bacteria; Bacillati; Actinomycetota; Actinomycetes; Bifidobacteriales; Bifidobacteriaceae.